Nerophis ophidion (straightnose pipefish) is the source of this 3654-nucleotide long non-coding RNA. RefSeq lists it as uncharacterized. The record is from RefSeq and is a predicted model, not a curated record. Lineage: Eukaryota; Metazoa; Chordata; Actinopteri; Syngnathiformes; Syngnathidae. The transcript is spliced from 3 exons.
UCAUGCGCAGAAACUUCCUCCUCUGGACGCAGCGCGGGCGAAAAAGGCACACGGGGAAAGUCAACGUCUCGUACGCAUGCGCGCACCGGGGAACAAGUCGCCUUACCUGCAGGAUGAGCUGCAGCGUCUCGCCGAAGAAAGAUGAUGCACUAGCUGUCCAAAGUCGGCACCCAGGGUGGACCACUCAUCUGUGCAUCAGUUGGGGAAGUCUGCGCUGCUGACCUGUCUCCACUCAAGAUGAUCUCCUGCUGGCCCCACUAUGGACUAGACUCUCACUAUUAUGUUAGAUCCACUAUGGACUGGACUCUCACAAUGUUAUGCAAGACCCACUUGACAUCCAUUGCACCGGUCGCCCAGGGGGGCCCACAUCCGCGGUCCCCUCCAAGGUUUCUCAUUGUAUCCCAUUGGGUUGAGGUUUUCUUGCCCUGAUGUGGGAUCUGAGCAGAGUAGGUCGUUGUGGUUUGUGCAGCCCUUUGAGACACUCGUGAUUUAGGGCUAAUAAAUAAACUUCGAUUGAUUAAUCCCGCGCCCCCCAAAAGGGUCGCUCUCAGCCAUGUUUCUGUCACACAGACGAAGAAGUCAAGUCCGCGGGAAGUGAAGAAAUCCUUCAGGAUAAACGUUUUGUUUGUCAAAGAUCUUGCGUUCACAAGACCGAACCUGGCGGGGGCCAGCACGUCCAACGGCGCAGCUAAUCCAGGUGGGGCCCGACACACAGCCCGCAGGUGGUGGGAGAGAGGAGCCACGAGGCGGGAAAGGAAGGCAGGAAUCCGGCCAUCUGAAAAAUUUGACUGGGACGUCGAAAAACCAACAUCGAAGUUGAUCAUAUCAGUGGGAGAGGGGCAAAGAUCCAACAGUGUUUGGCCGUCAUACACAAGCAGUGAGCUGACAGAGACAAAAAUAGACGCAAACAACACAAAAACGGACAGAGCUGACAGCGAGAGACGGCAGGGCAAAGCACAUACUGGCGCCAUCUUCUGGAAACUCGAAAGUGACGUUACUCAAAUAGUGAAAGUACCGUGUUUGUCUUCCAGCCGUGCAUAGCGUUUUGAAUCGUAUGGCUUCUUCAUUCAUCACUCCAAGCAAUGCGUGUAAGUUUAACAAUAUAACUAAAACAGUAUAUAAUUACUAAACUGUGCCAUGUGUGAUGUCUGUGGUAGUUUUUUUUAUGCAUCAUUAGUAUGAGCUGAUAUGGUAACACGUUUACGAGUGUGUGUUAGUAUUAUUAACUUACAAUGUCCUUAUUUUUUAUAUUGUUUCAAUUUCACAAAUUUCUCAGUAAAUUCACCAAAAUGUCACCAUGGAGUUAUUAAGUCUGUUGGGGUGAUUGGAGAGCUAGCUUUCGCAUCUAAAGGGUCAAUGACAAUGACUUCUGUUUUGUUUGAUCAACCGUUUUACUGCCAUCUAUACUUUAUAUGAUAUUCUUAUCAGUAGAAAAAACAAUAUCAGCCAGCCCAUAUUAUUGAACUUACCUACUGGUAAUUUUAAAGUAUAGAAACAUUGGAUUUUUAUCAUACCAGCCUUAGAGAAGAUCUACUGUUUUUUGAAAUGUAAGAGGUGUCCUCAAUUUUGUGUCUGAUGCACUCACUCACUUCUCAAGUAAAGCCAACGCUGUGGCUGGGUUCACUCUGAGGUACUUGGAGGUCGGCUGGCCAUAGUCCGCGAGAUAUGUUGACCAGUCCCAUACCAUGAACAGGUCCAGGAGCUACAAGUCCCAAACAUAAACACACAGACAAAACAGAACAGAACAAACUGUAAAUAAAAAACUUCUCCUAAAAGAACUUUGAAAAAGGAAAAUGGGACGAGAUAAAGUUACUAGUAGCAUGUGUAAAUGUAAAUGGUUUAAGUUUAAAUUUAUUUCGAACAUGUAUAACGUUUCAAUAUGAUAAAUCCCAUAUUGUACAUAUUUUCACUUGUUUUAUUCCUUACAACAUGUCCGAAAAGGAGUAGGAAGAAGCAAAGCUUAAUCAAGCCUACCCCCUUUCUACUUCACAGCAAUUACUAACACAUAUGUUGACUUCCUGUUCUCAGUUUAUACACAAUUUACAUCAAUGAUGCAAUACAACAGACGUAUUGUUUGUUACUAUGUGCCCUGUGAUUGUCUGGUAAACAUGCGAAGCAAACCUAUGACAGUUUGAUGGUCAACAGUACUGAGCACUGUCUGCUGCCAAACUCCACCCACCACAUGUAGUGAAAACUCCUCAUUGCUAUAAUUCACCUGUUUAACGAACAAUUUGUAAAAGUGAUACAAAAAGUUACCUCUGACUAGUAGGCUUAGGAAUUAAAUCAAAUUUUAGGGUGCUUGUUGUCGCCGAAAGGGGGCACAAAAAUUAGCUGAUUUAUUCAAGUUUUUAUUUGAGAUUUGUGAGCGUGUCUCAAAGACUCCUUCUACAUCACAAGGCACAGACAUCUGUCUAGUAUUUCUGAUUCUAAGUUGGGAUCAUUUAAGUAGAUUCUGUAAGAGGGCUUCCUUAAAGUACGAACCCUGGAAUUCUCCCAAAAUAACAGGCUUCCAUUUCUGCUUCAGGGAUCUUCACAUAGUGGACAAGGACACUGCAUUUCACAGUGAUCAGUGAAACUGGUGGGAAGUAUUUAUUUGUGAUGUUUUAAAGAAGCGCUAACAAUUCUUUUUGGGUUCUCAACAGUGUAUUUUGUUAGGGGUGUUUUGUUAAUACUAUUAAUAAUAGAGUGGAUUAUACAAUGUGGUUAAUUUCAAAAUAGAAAAAGUGGUUCACUGUAAACUUCCCAGUCCAAUAUAUGCUUUUAUGUCACCAAAAGUCGCCAAUAAAACAAAAAAAGUUGCAAGAGUUGUCGCUUCUUGCUUUUUUUUUUAAAGAUCAACGCUCAGUUCAUUUCCAGUAAGUAAAUAAAAACAAUACAAUUUUUAAAUAAACAUAAAUAUGAUACACUAUAUUAUGAUUUACAAGGUUUCCAUUUAGUGAUGUGAAACAAUGCACAAAAGUACAGUGUGAAUGAUUAAUUUUAUAGUUAGUAAAGUUCCUUAUUGGCUGAAGUACACCUUUGAUAGUUCCUCCUUGUAGCUGAAAAAUGCCAGCUCAGUGCUUUCGUCUUAUCCAUAGUACUUAGUCUCUUUACAUCGCGGCUCUCCAAACUUUUACUACUAAAGGCUGCAACCUGAAUGAGGGGUUAUUACUAUCAGCAUUUCAGCUUUUCUCGUUAAAUUGUACCAUUUUUUAAAAUGUUUUCCCAUUUUUUAAAAUCUGCCACAGCCCAAUCAAAAUGAGCCAAGGUUCGCAAAUAGCCCCUGAUCCAUAAUUUGAACACUCCUGGUUUAUGUAUUUCAUAUGGGUAGUGUUACCAGGCCCUGUCACAUUAACAUUGACACAUUAACAUGAGUUGUGGCUGAUAGUAGCUCUUGAAAAAAUGUGGUCACCGUGUGUUGUUACUGUGUGUUACUAAAGUUAUCGUGAGCGCAUCGGCGGUGGUUUCUCUUAUUGACCACGCGAGGCAUUACAGUACAGUACAUCGCACUUCCACACGAGCUGGUGUCUGUUAGACAGAUAGACUUGGCCACACUUUAGAAUGCAUCUGUUCUUCAAUAUAUUAGUAUGUUGAAAAUACAAUGAUGUGCAUAUAUUACCUUUUAAAUCAGCUUCCACUUUUACGGAGACCAGAAAACCUCAAGGCUUUUUUUAA